RNAcentral lists this transfer RNA (75 nucleotides) under uncultured marine virus. RNAcentral's name for it is "tRNA-Asp". It matches the Rfam family "tRNA". From Rfam's summary of the family: Transfer RNA (tRNA) molecules are approximately 80 nucleotides in length. Their secondary structure includes four short double-helical elements and three loops (D, anti-codon, and T loops). The record is from RNAcentral.
GGACGUGUAGAUCAAUUGGUUAGAUCAUUCGCCUGUCACGCGAAAGGUUGCGAGUUCGAGCCUCGUCACGUCCGC